This 395-nucleotide ribosomal RNA is filed under the name bacterium enrichment culture clone ALO1_GLFRUDD03GSD7G. RNAcentral's name for it is "bacterial SSU rRNA". It matches the Rfam family "Bacterial small subunit ribosomal RNA", at positions 9 to 407 of the family's 1533-position model. The record is from RNAcentral.
GAGUUUGAUCCUGGCUCAGAUUGAACGCUGGCGGCAUGCCUUACACAUGCAAGUCGAACGGCAGCACGGGAGCUUGCUCCUGGUGGCGAGUGGCGAACGGGUGAGUAAUGCAUCGGAACGUAUCCUGGAGUGGGGGAUAACGUAGCGAAAGUUACGCUAAUACCGCAUAUUCUGUGAGCAGGAAAGCGGGGGACCUUCGGGCCUCGCGCUCUUGGAGCGGCCGAUGUCGGAUUAGCUAGUUGGUGAGGUAAAGGCUCACCAAGGCGACGAUCCGUAGCAGGUCUGAGAGGAUGAUCUGCCACACUGGAACUGAGACACGGUCCAGACUCCUACGGGAGCAGCAGUGGGAAUUUUGGACAAUGGGGCAACCCUGAUCCAGCCAUGCCGCGUGAGUG